AUCUCUGGCUCCUCUGCAUUUAACCGAGAAAAUCUUUCGCCUUUUACUAAAGAUUUCCGUGCAUAGGUGCAUUUUAUGAGUAUACGCGAAUUUUUGGAUUCCCCUCGAAAGAGCGGGAU
Molecule: non-coding RNA, 119 nt
Organism: Necator americanus (New World hookworm)
Lineage: Eukaryota; Metazoa; Nematoda; Chromadorea; Rhabditida; Ancylostomatidae
Source: Rfam